CCUACGGGUGGCAGCAGUGAGGAAUAUUGGUCAAUGGCCGGAAGGCUGAACCAGCCACGCCGCGUGAAGGACGAAGGUGCCAAGCAUUGUAAACUUCUUUUGUCAAGGGACAAAAUCAGGCUCUAGAGCCUGACCGAGGGUACUUGAAGAAAAAGCAUCGGCUAACUCCGUGCCAGCAGCCGCGGUAAUACCGGGGAUGCGAGCGUUAUCCGGAUUUAUUGGGGUGAAAGGGUGCGUAGGCGGACGUUGAAGUCAGCGGUAAAAGCCCGGGGCUCAACCCCGGCGAGCCGUUGAAACUGGCUGUCUUGAGAUGUGGAGAGGUAUGCGGAAUGCGCAGUGUAGCGGUGAAAUGCUUAGAUAUUGCGCAGAACACCGAGUGCGAAGGCAGCAUACCGGCGGCGAUCUGACGCUGAGGCACGAAAGCGUGGGUAUCGAACAGGAUUAGAUACCCUGGUAGUC
Molecule: ribosomal RNA, 459 nt
Filed under: uncultured bacterium
Lineage: Bacteria
Description: partial 16S ribosomal RNA
Rfam family: Bacterial small subunit ribosomal RNA
Source: RNAcentral